RNAcentral lists this ribosomal RNA (253 nucleotides) under uncultured bacterium. RNAcentral describes it as "partial 16S ribosomal RNA". It matches the Rfam family "Bacterial small subunit ribosomal RNA", at positions 524 to 776 of the family's 1533-position model. The record is from RNAcentral.
UACGUAGGACGCAAGCGUUAUCCGGAAUUAUUGGGCGUAAAGAGCUCGUAGGCGGUUUGUCGCGUCUGCUGUGAAAAUCCGAGGCUCAACCUCGGACCUGCAGUGGGUACGGGCAGACUAGAGUGUGGUAGGGGAGACUGGAAUUCCUGGUGUAGCGGUGGAAUGCGCAGAUAUCAGGAGGAACACCAAUGGCGAAGGCAGGUCUCUGGGCCACAACUGACGCUGAGGAGCGAAAGCGUGGGGAGCGAACAGG